Molecule: long non-coding RNA, 320 nt
Organism: Lycium barbarum (goji berry)
Lineage: Eukaryota; Viridiplantae; Streptophyta; Magnoliopsida; Solanales; Solanaceae
Exons: 3
Source: RefSeq, a predicted model, not a curated record
AAACAGGCUAUACCCAAACAACCACUUUUAGGCCCAUCUCAACUUUCAAGAACAUUCGCCAACUCAUUUUUGUUCCACAAAUAUCCGAUCACCUUUGAACUGCUGAUAAUUUUUUUACAAAACAAAAUUAAGAGUUUCUAGACUGACUUUGGUGAAAUGAUUCGAACUGAAACUUUAGUGCCUGCCAUAACCAAAUUCAGAACCAUGUUUCCAUAUGGAGGAAGAAUGGUUGGAACAAUGACACCUAAGAAACUAGCAAAUGAUGAUACUGGAGAAGCCCUGAUGAAUACGGAGAACAUUGCACCCCUCGUUGCUUUUAG